AUUAAAGAGACACUCAAGCUUGCUGAAGUGCUUUAUGCGUGAAAGGUGUGUCAUCUUUUUUCAUAUUGCAAAAAGUGCAGAUUGUAAUAGAAAGUGGCACUUUUAUAAAUUAACCUUGUUACACCCACCUGGCUGUCAAUCAGAUGUCCAGCCCUGUUACUUCCUGGUUGUUUAGCUCAGUGUAGAUUAACUAAGGAGAUAGACAAUCUCCCAGAGCACCUGCCUUGCAAGGACUCUUCAUUGAGC
Pelobates cultripes (western spadefoot toad) is the source of this 246-nucleotide non-coding RNA. NCBI's taxonomy places the organism in Eukaryota, Metazoa, Chordata, Amphibia, Anura, Pelobatidae. The record is from the annotation of a GenBank genome assembly.